AAAUGAACAAUAUUUUCUACAAAAGAGUCAGUCUAAUUCCUUGCUAUAUCCUUCAGAAUAGAAUAACAAUUUGCUUUAAAUUUCAGUGAUUCCUAUUUUAGCUUUUGUAUUAAUUAGGUUGACUAACUGCUGUAAACCCAAAGAAGUCAAUGACUCCAACACAAUAGAAGGUUUUUUAUUUUUGUAGUAGAAGUUUAUUUUUUUUAACUGAAUAUUUCAAGUAUUUUUAGAUGGGAGAGAGGUUGCACUCUGCUUCAAGCAGUUCUUCAGGGAAGCAGACAAGUAGAAGAUCUGCCUUCUUAAAUCCCAGAUUUCCAUGGUUGCCCUGAGAGAGAAGCACAUUUAUAAAUAAAUACAAAUCCAUAUACAAAAACUAUAACAAAUCCAUAAAGAGACAAGUGAACAAAGAAAGAUAACACGGUGUAAGAUGACAGAGGGCCAAGACAAAGCAGAGAUGCCCAGUGGGGCUAAAAGUUUCUCAGCCUCAAGCUCAAGUGACAGUGAAGGAUAAAAUACUAACCUUGAGCCACACAAAUUUGAAUCAAAAGAUGGAUGAUGGAGGUCUGAAGGCACGGACAUUCUUGCCGUGAAGUUUCAGAGCAUCACAAAUUUUUCCUAGUUUCCUUUUCAUGGAAUAUUCUUCUGUCUUGGUUCCUUUGUCGUAUAUUGAGACCUCCAAAGGACAUUUGCUCCUUUCUGCAGUAACAGGACAAGACCAGGACUCUUCAGAAUCCAGUGAGGAGGAGACAACUCCAAAAGUCUUAAGAAGGGCAGUGAGAAGCAAGCAUGGCGAGAAGGGUUUCAGCAGUACUGACUUUUCAGAGCUGAGUAAUGGAGAAGAGCUUCAGGAAACCUGCAGCUCACCCCUAAGAAGUGGGUCAGGUAAAGAAGAUUAGGAUGCCAAGACUUGGCCUGCAGAAUGUCAGGAAUCUGAAUUAAAAGCUACUGUUUCCAGACCUUUUUUAUUCUGAGCACCUUGACUGCCUUGUAUCCAGUUCAUCUGGGAACUCCUUUUUGCAUUUUAGAAAAUGGAAGGAGGCAGGAAAUUAUGAUAAACUCAUGUUGAACAGGAUGAGUCUCACUGACUAAAUGUAUGUAAUUAUAUAUUGCUGUUGUAGACGAAAUAAAUAGCAAAUUUGUGGUAUCUUUUUUUAAAACCUGCUCUCAUUCCUAUUAACACUAAGAUCUUAGGUUUUUAUAGUAAUAAAUGGGUUGACAUCAACGUCAUUUGUAAUUGUAAAGCUGCAAAAGACAACUGCUCCUACUAUGUAAUUAUAGACAGAAAUAAAAACUUCAGAUCAAACACUCUCAAACUUUAGUAUAGUUUUUGACAGAUGUCCUUCAUCAUGUAAUUGGAUUAUAUUGUGUUAUUUCAAUAUAUUUUGGCAAAUAAGAUCUUAUUUUGUCAUCACAAAAUUUUUAAGACAUAGGCAGACUCUUACCAUACCCAUUUUGGGGUAAGGAAAUAGAUGUACAGA
RNAcentral lists this long non-coding RNA (1478 nucleotides) under Aotus nancymaae (Ma's night monkey). RNAcentral's name for it is "lncRNA (ENSANAG00000038759.1)". Lineage: Eukaryota; Metazoa; Chordata; Mammalia; Primates; Aotidae. The record is from RNAcentral.